GGGAUGUUAGCUCAAUUGGUAGAGCAGCUGACUUUUAAUCAGCGGGUUGUAGGUUCAAGUCCUACACAUCCCACCA
Molecule: transfer RNA, 76 nt
Filed under: Deinococcus sp. Arct2-2
Lineage: Bacteria; Thermotogati; Deinococcota; Deinococci; Deinococcales; Deinococcaceae
Also listed under: 1 other name
Description: tRNA-Lys
Rfam family: tRNA
About the family: Transfer RNA (tRNA) molecules are approximately 80 nucleotides in length. Their secondary structure includes four short double-helical elements and three loops (D, anti-codon, and T loops).
Source: RNAcentral